UACGGAAGGUCCGGGCGUUAUCCGGAUUUACUGGGUGUAAAGGGAGCGUAGACGGUACGCCAAGUCUGAAGUGAAAUGCCGCAGCUUAACUGCGGAACUGCUUUGGAAACUGGCGGGCUAGAGUGCGGGAGGGGUAAGCGGAAUUCCUAGUGUAGCGGUGAAAUGCGUAGAUAUUAGGAGGAACACCAGUGGCGGAGGCGGCUUACUGGACGGUAACUGACGCUGAGGCUCGAAAGCGUGGGGAGCAAACAGG
Molecule: ribosomal RNA, 253 nt
Filed under: uncultured Eubacteriales bacterium
Lineage: Bacteria; Bacillati; Bacillota; Clostridia; Eubacteriales
Description: uncultured Clostridiales bacterium partial 16S ribosomal RNA
Rfam family: Bacterial small subunit ribosomal RNA
Source: RNAcentral